This 670-nucleotide ribosomal RNA is filed under the name Microvirga sp. Its description in RNAcentral is "bacterial SSU rRNA". It matches the Rfam family "Bacterial small subunit ribosomal RNA", at positions 68 to 784 of the family's 1533-position model. The record is from RNAcentral. Lineage: Bacteria; Pseudomonadati; Pseudomonadota; Alphaproteobacteria; Hyphomicrobiales; Methylobacteriaceae.
GCACCCUUCGGGGUGAGUGGCAGACGGGUGAGUAACACGUGGGAACGUGCCCUUCAGUUCGGAAUAACCCAGGGAAACUUGGGCUAAUACCGGAUACGCCCUUACGGGGAAAGAUUUAUCGCUGAAGGAUCGGCCCGCGUCUGAUUAGCUAGUUGGUGGGGUAAAGGCUCACCAAGGCGACGAUCAGUAGCUGGUCUGAGAGGAUGAUCAGCCACACUGGGACUGAGACACGGCCCAGACUCCUACGGGAGGCAGCAGUGGGGAAUAUUGGACAAUGGGCGCAAGCCUGAUCCAGCCAUGCCGCGUGAGUGAUGAAGGCCUUAGGGUUGUAAAGCUCUUUCGGCGGGGACGAUAAUGACGGUACCCGCAGAAGAAGCCCCGGCUAACUUCGUGCCAGCAGCCGCGGUAAUACGAAGGGGGCUAGCGUUGUUCGGAAUCACUGGGCGUAAAGGGCGCGUAGGCGGCUUUGUAAGUCGGGGGUGAAAGCCUGUGGCUCAACCACAGAAUUGCCUUCGAUACUGCAUGGCUUGAGACCGGAAGAGGUAAGUGGAACUGCGAGUGUAGAGGUGAAAUUCGUAGAUAUUCGCAAGAACACCAGUGGCGAAGGCGGCUUACUGGUCCGGAUCUGACGCUGAGGCGCGAAAGCGUGGGGAGCAAACAGGAUUAGAUA